This 497-nucleotide ribosomal RNA is filed under the name uncultured bacterium. RNAcentral describes it as "partial 16S ribosomal RNA". It matches the Rfam family "Bacterial small subunit ribosomal RNA", at positions 28 to 507 of the family's 1533-position model. The record is from RNAcentral.
GAUGAACGCUGGCGGCGUGCCUAAUACAUGCAAGUCGAGCGAACAGACGAGGAGCUUGCUCCUCUGACGUUAGCGGCGGACGGGUGAGUAACACGUGGAUAACCUACCUAUAAGACUGGGAUAACUUCGGGAAACCGGAGCUAAUACCGGAUAAUAUAUUGAACCGCAUGGUUCAAUAGUGAAAGACGGUUUUGCUGUCACUUAUAGAUGGAUCCGCGCCGCAUUAGCUAGUUGGUAAGGUAACGGCUUACCAAGGCAACGAUGCGUAGCCGACCUGAGAGGGUGAUCGGCCACACUGGAACUGAGACACGGUCCAGACUCCUACGGGAGGCAGCAGUAGGGAAUCUUCCGCAAUGGGCGAAAGCUCGACGGAGCAACGCCGCGUGAGUGAUGAAGGUCUUCGGAUCGUAAAACUCUGUUAUUAGGGAAGAACAAAUGUGUAAGUAACUAUGCACGUCUUGACGGUACCUAAUCAGAAAGCCACGGCUAACUACGUG